AAUACCAUCCAAAGUAUUCGCUGUAAGUUGGACGGAUGCAAUGGGAGUUAUUGGAGGGGUAGGUGGAUACCAUACCAACGUGUCUGGUGACUGUGGACAGUGUGAUAAUGUGGGAAGAGUGAGUGCCAAUGUGACAGACAUGUCAUGCUCGGGCUGGGAGCCCAUUGGACAGACCUGCAACAUCAGUGUCUACACAGUUACUGCUGACUGUCACUUUAGGAGUGAAAGUCCUGCCUUUGCUGCUGUACAUCUGAAGUUGCCAAAAGUCCCCACAACUACUAGUGUAAUACCAACAUAUGACCUCAGUGGAGGCCUGUUGCGAAUUGCAACUACCUUCGUUGCAAAUCAAGAGAUCACAGAUGAGAAUGGAUUCACAAUAAAGUAUGUGAUUGUAUACACUCAUUCAUCACUGGGGAGUGAGCCGAUAGAGAUUGUGCUAGACUGUGCCUCAGGAACUGAAUGUAAACACAUCCUCAAUGUUAAUAACUCUCAUGGGGAGUACUCAAUAGCAACUGGUGCUGUGACUCCAGUGGGAAAAGCAAUCCAACAAGACAACUCCACCAU
Long non-coding RNA from Halichondria panicea, 564 nucleotides. RefSeq lists it as uncharacterized. Lineage: Eukaryota; Metazoa; Porifera; Demospongiae; Suberitida; Halichondriidae. The transcript is spliced from 3 exons. The record is from RefSeq and is a predicted model, not a curated record.